AUUGAACGCUGGCGGCAGGCUUAACACAUGCAAGUCGAGCGGAGAUGAGGUGCUUGCACCUUAUCUUAGCGGCGGACGGGUGAGUAAUGCUUAGGAAUCUGCCUAUUAGUGGGGGACAACAUUCCGAAAGGAAUGCUAAUACCGCAUACGUCCUACGGGAGAAAGCAGGGGAUCUUCGGACCUUGCGUUAAUAGAUGAGCCUAAGUCGGAUUAGCUAGUUGGUGGGGUAAAGGCCUACCAAGGCGACGAUCUGUAGCGGGUCUGAGAGGAUGAUCCGCCACACUGGGACUGAGACACGGCCCAGACUCCUACGGGAGGUAGCAGUGGGGAAUAUUGGACAAUGGGGGGAACCCUGAUCCAGCCAUGCCGCGUGUGUGAAGAAGGCCUUAUGGUUGUAAAGCACUUUAAGCGAGGAGGAGGCUACUGAGACUAAUACUCUUGGAUAGUGGACGUUACUCGCAGAAUAAGCACCGGCUAACUCUGUGCCAGCAGCCGCGGUAA
RNAcentral lists this ribosomal RNA (501 nucleotides) under uncultured bacterium. RNAcentral's name for it is "partial 16S ribosomal RNA". It matches the Rfam family "Bacterial small subunit ribosomal RNA", at positions 30 to 523 of the family's 1533-position model. The record is from RNAcentral.